GAUGAACGCUGGCGGCGUGCUUAACACAUGCAAGUCGAACGGGAAACAUUUUAUUGAAGCUUCGGCAGAUUUAGAUUGUUUCUAGUGGCGGACGGGUGAGUAACGCGUGGGUAACCUGCCUUAUACCGGGGGAUAACAGCCAGAAAUGACUGCUAAUACCGCAUAAGCGCACAGAACCGCAUGGUUCCGUGUGAAAAACUCCGGUGGUAUAAGAUGGACCCGCGUUGGAUUAGCUAGUUGGCAGGGCAGCGGCCUACCAAGGCGACGAUCCAUAGCCGGCCUGAGAGGGUGAACGGCCACAUUGGGACUGAGACACGGCCCAGACUCCUACGGGAGGCAGCAGUGGGGAAUAUUGCACAAUGGGGGAAACCCUGAUGCAGCGACGCCGCGUGAAGGAAGAAGUAUCUCGGUAUGUAAACUUCUAUCAGCAGGGAAGAUAAUGACGGUACCUGACUAAGAAGCCCCGGCUAACUAC
Molecule: ribosomal RNA, 475 nt
Filed under: uncultured bacterium
Lineage: Bacteria
Description: bacterial SSU rRNA
Rfam family: Bacterial small subunit ribosomal RNA
Source: RNAcentral